This 459-nucleotide ribosomal RNA is filed under the name uncultured bacterium. RNAcentral's name for it is "partial 16S ribosomal RNA". It matches the Rfam family "Bacterial small subunit ribosomal RNA", at positions 338 to 795 of the family's 1533-position model. The record is from RNAcentral.
CCUACGGGUGGCAGCAGUGAGGAAUAUUGGUCAAUGGGCGCGAGCCUGAACCAGCCAAGUCGCGUGAGGGAAGACGGUCCUAUGGAUUGUAAACCUCUUUUGUCGGGGAGCAAAAGACGCCACGCGUGGCGUUCCGAGAGUACCCGAAGAAAAAGCAUCGGCUAACUCCGUGCCAGCAGCCGCGGUAAUACGGAGGGUGCGAGCUUUAUCCGGAUUUUUUGGGGUUAAAGGGUGCGUAGGGGGGCUGUUAAGUCAGCGGGAAAAGCCCGGGGCUCAACCCCGGCGAGCGGUUGAAACGGGCUGUCUGGAGAGGGCGAGAGGAAGGCGGAAGGAGCGGGGGAGCGGUGAAAUGCUUAGAUAGGGCGCAGAACCCCGAUUGCGAAGGCAGCAGUCCGGCGGCGUUCGGACGCGGAGGCACGAAAGCGCGGGGAUCGAACAGGAUUAGAUACCCUAGUAGUC